This 450-nucleotide ribosomal RNA is filed under the name uncultured bacterium. RNAcentral describes it as "bacterial SSU rRNA". It matches the Rfam family "Bacterial small subunit ribosomal RNA", at positions 354 to 796 of the family's 1533-position model. The record is from RNAcentral.
GUGGGGAAUUUUGGACAAUGGGCGCAAGCCUGAUCCAGCAAUGCCGCGUGCAGGAAGAAGGCCUUCGGGUUGUAAACUGCUUUUGUACGGAACGAAACGGUCCGGGUUAAUACCCUGGGCUAAUGACGGUACCGUAAGAAUAAGCACCGGCUAACUACGUGCCAGCAGCCGCGGUAAUACGUAGGGUGCAAGCGUUAAUCGGAAUUACUGGGCGUAAAGCGUGCGCAGGCGGUUUUGUAAGACAGGCGUGAAAUCCCCGGGCUCAACCUGGGAAUUGCGUGUGUGACUGCAAGGCUGGAGUGCGGCAGAGGGGGAUGGAAUUCCGCGUGUAGCAGUGAAAUGCGUAGAUAUGCGGAGGAACACCGAUGGCGAAGGCAAUCCCCUGGGCCUGCACUGACGCUCAUGCACGAAAGCGUGGGGAGCAAACAGGAUUAGAUACCCUGGUAGUCC